CUGAGCAGAUGGGCUUUGACCCCAUAAACUCCUAGUUAACAGCUAGGCGCUUAACACCAUCAAGCUCCUGCCCA
RNAcentral lists this transfer RNA (74 nucleotides) under Upupa epops (Eurasian hoopoe). Its description in RNAcentral is "tRNA-Asn". The record is from RNAcentral. Lineage: Eukaryota; Metazoa; Chordata; Aves; Bucerotiformes; Upupidae.